Long non-coding RNA from Ostrinia nubilalis (European corn borer), 909 nucleotides. RefSeq lists it as uncharacterized. Lineage: Eukaryota; Metazoa; Arthropoda; Insecta; Lepidoptera; Crambidae. The transcript is spliced from 3 exons. The record is from RefSeq and is a predicted model, not a curated record.
GCUGUACAGUCUGUCUAUAAAGUCGUGACAUGAAUGUUUGAGGAACUAACAUUAUUCAUGUGUCUGGCAACACCAAAGUUCACCAAACAUAUGUACAUCAGCUGUCAUCGAGAACAAGUUGUGGAACGAUUUUCAUUUUGUGGUUUUUAUUGUUUGACUAAUCUCCAGUAAAUUAUUACUCAGCUACGAAGAAAAGUAUAAACAAUGAGUAAAGUAAAUUGGAGUGCCACGCGGAAAGUGAUUUUUAAAGUUUUCCAGCAAUGUUCCGCGGAGUACCAAGCUGGUCAAAUUUUGUGGGAUUUGGAUGAUGUUUAAGGGCGAACAGCAUCUUUGACGGGAAAAUCAGAGAGUACGGUUAGGCGCAUAGUUAAUGAAGGUUUUCAGAAUAAUGGAAAAUUUAGAAUUCCUGGGAAACACAGGCAAGGCCAACCAAAGAAAGAAAUGGAUAAUUUUAAUAUUUGUGCUCUGCGCCAAAAAAUAAAUUUUUUUUACACGGUACAAAAAGAGGUCACAAAAUGUUCGCAAUCUCUAAACAUCAAACAAAAGACAUUUUCAAAGGAAAGCGUUACAUCAUAGUCCAUGCUGGAAGCGAAAAGGGGUUUGUUUCAAACUGCCUCCUCAUAUUCACUGACAGAAAUAAUUUGGAAGACUACCAUUCAGAAAUGAAUGCGCAUAACUUUACGAAGUGGAUUAAAGAAAAACUAAUACCAAAUCUUCAUGAGCCUUCCAUUAUAGUUAUGGACCUGUACCAAGACAAUUGGUUAUUUGCUUAGGCGAUAAUAGCAACAGUGAAGAUGAUGUGAGUGAUGUCAGCGUUACUUAUGAAGGUGGCAACGAAACUUUUCUUAACAUCGAAUAUUUGGAAUCCGAUGAUGAAAGUGAUUAAUAAAUGUCCUUAUUAAAUAUGUA